GGAAGGUCCGGGCGUUAUCCGGANUUANUUGGGUUUAAAGGGAGCGUAGGCGGAGANUUAAGCGUGUUGUGAAAUGUAGAUGCUCAACAUCUGAACUGCAGCGCGAACUGGUUUUCUNGAGUACGCACAAAGUGGGCGGAAUUCGUGGUGUAGCGGUGAAAUGCUUAGAUAUCACGAAGAACUCCGAUUGCGAAGGCAGCUUGCUGAACUGCAACUGACAUUGANGCUCGAAAGUGUGGGUAUCAAACAGGAUUAGAUACCCUGGUAGUCCACACGGUAAACGAUGAAUACUCGCUGUUUGNCAUAUANGGUNAGCGGCCAAGCGAAAGCGUUAAGUAUUCCACCUGGGGAGU
This 353-nucleotide ribosomal RNA is filed under the name uncultured bacterium. RNAcentral describes it as "partial 16S ribosomal RNA". It matches the Rfam family "Bacterial small subunit ribosomal RNA", at positions 527 to 881 of the family's 1533-position model. The record is from RNAcentral.